Molecule: transfer RNA, 118 nt
Filed under: Daphnia pulex (common water flea)
Lineage: Eukaryota; Metazoa; Arthropoda; Branchiopoda; Diplostraca; Daphniidae
Rfam family: tRNA
About the family: Transfer RNA (tRNA) molecules are approximately 80 nucleotides in length. Their secondary structure includes four short double-helical elements and three loops (D, anti-codon, and T loops). Further hydrogen bonds mediate the characteristic L-shaped molecular structure. tRNAs have two regions of fundamental functional importance: the anti-codon, which is responsible for specific mRNA codon recognition, and the 3' end, to which the tRNAs corresponding amino acid is attached (by aminoacyl-tRNA synthetases). tRNAs cope with the degeneracy of the genetic code in two manners: having more than one tRNA (with a specific anti-codon) for a particular amino acid; and 'wobble' base-pairing, i.e. permitting non-standard base-pairing at the 3rd anti-codon position.
Source: Rfam by way of RNAcentral
GUCAGAAUGGCCGAGCGGUCUAAGGCGCCAGACUCAAGCUCAUAACUUGCCGGGUGUCCCGGUAGCAUAGAAUUCUGGUCUUCGAUAGAAGGCGUGGGUUUAAAUCCCACUUCUGACA